GAUGAACGCUGGCGGCGUGCCUAAUACAUGCAAGUCGAGCGAAUGGAUUAAGAGCUUGCUCUUAUGAAGUUAGCGGCGGACGGGUGAGUAACACGUGGGUAACCUGCCUUCAAGAUAGGGAUAACAUUGAGAAAUCGGUGCUAAUACCUGAUAUGCCCACAGAGCCGAGUGGCUUAGGGGGGAAAGAUUUAUCGCUUGAAGAUGGACUCGCGUCCCAUUAGCUAGUUGGUGAGAUAAAAGCUUACCAAGGCGACGAUGGGUAGCCGGACUGAGAAGUUGAACGGCCACACUGGGACUGAGAACGGCCCAGACUCCUACGGGAGGCAGCAGUGGGGAAUAUUGGGCAAUGGGCGAAAGCCUGACCCAGCAAUGCCGCGUGAACGAAGAAGGUCUUCGGAUUGUAAAGUUCUGUCCUAUGAGAAGAAGUCAGUGACGGUAUCAUAGGAGGAAGCCCCGGCUAACUACGUGCCAGCCGCCGCAGUAACAC
RNAcentral lists this ribosomal RNA (487 nucleotides) under uncultured bacterium. Its description in RNAcentral is "bacterial SSU rRNA". It matches the Rfam family "Bacterial small subunit ribosomal RNA", at positions 28 to 526 of the family's 1533-position model. The record is from RNAcentral.